GGGCACCCAAAGAACGCGUGGAGCAUGUGGCUUAAUUUGACUCAACGCGGGGAAUCUUACUAGGUCCGGACCGAUUCUAUGAUCGUCGUACUGUGGGGUGCUACGUGAUUACUGGAUGAGUGGUGCAUGGCCGUUCUUAGUUCGUGGUGUUAAUUGUCUACUUAAUUGUCAUCAGUUUAAUACAUGUAUUGAACUAUGAACGAACGAGAUCGAGACCCGUGGUUGCGUGUGUUUGAAUUCGGUAUUACUACGGGGAUCGCGUAUUACUCCACGGUACGAUCGAAAGACUCGGCAAUAACAGGUCUGUGAUGCCCUCAGAUGUUCUAGGCUGCACACGUGCUACAGUGUGGUUCUGUUCAUAUGUGUAUGCGUAGACUUGAGAUCCCCCGCACCGAGUCAUAACUGGUCACAUUGGUUGGGCUCACCGAUUGUCAAUUAUUCGGUAUCUUAACUAGGAAUGC
RNAcentral lists this ribosomal RNA (461 nucleotides) under Amphistegina lobifera. Its description in RNAcentral is "SSU rRNA". It matches the Rfam family "Eukaryotic small subunit ribosomal RNA", at positions 1174 to 1613 of the family's 1831-position model. Lineage: Eukaryota; Foraminifera; Rotaliida; Amphisteginidae. The record is from RNAcentral.